CCCAAUUAAUACUAAAUCUGCGCAUUCCAACGUAACUACGAGACUCAAGACCCGCGAAACAACCUGAAUUAAAAAACGUAAAAGUCAGAAACUCCUUCCAACUCAAAUUCCACAUUCGCUCACAUGUUUCAUUCACAGAAACAUAAUGCUGUGAAGAAACAAGGUUUUAACGAAAUUGGAGGUGAAAGGACCGUGCAACAUCAGAUUCAGAUGCCUGCAGGGAGCCUGAAGUGCAGACAUAGACACUAUUCCAAUGUUCAUAGACUGUUUUAUCCUAGGAGUACUCCGAUGGAAAUCAUGCUUGGAUUGCCAGUUUUUGCAUAUGGCUUUGGAAACCCAUAGCAGGUGAAAGGGUUCCAAGACAUAAAAAAUGGAAGCUUAUCGUGAGAAAUCUUCCUUUCAAGGGCAUUCAAAAGUUGAACGGAUCAAAUUAGCAAAACGAGUCAUAGCUGUUGAUUGGGGUGAUCCGAAUAAGAUAUUUAGUAGCGAUAUUAAGGAUACUUGUGCAUCAGAGAAAGGUGGUGGAGGGACUGAAGUUGAAGGCGUUGGUCCAUUCUCAACCUCAAAAGUCAUUGCUAGUCCCCACGGAACAUGAUCUUCCAUAUGGUAAUGCAUCAGCCAAACCUCUGUAAGUAAACCAACUCAUUAGAGUAUGUCACCGUAUAUAGUCUAAUUCGUAUAUACAGCCAUAUCUGAACAAUGUUACUUUAAUUUUUACUUGCAUGAUAUUUAGUUUAGUUUAUUUGAUUUGAAAGUUUAUGAAUGUCAAAUAACAAGUAACUGAAACAACCGAGAGUCAAUACCUGGAUUAUCUGCUCGGAAUCUAAUAACAGCCCAUCCUUCCUGAGGCACACCAACAGUGUUACGUAAUUGCGGAUUCACCAAAUUAAACUUGGCUCUAUCCGUGUCGUUGUUAAAAUUUCCGAACCCUUGAGCCAAAACGUGAAAGUUAUAACCAUGAAGGUGCAUAGGGUGGUUUUGCCCCUCAAGAAACACUGUAUUCUGAAACACAAUCUCUAUAGUUGAAUUGAAAUUGAGUUUCUUCGCCUUGGUUGAUUUUGGAGCAAAUAGAAAGCUCUUAUUAUAAGCAUUGUCCAGUUUGGUGAAGUCAAACAUAAGUGGAGGCUUGUCAGGGAAAUCUGUAGUGUACACUCCACUCACAUUGUUGUAGAACGCUUCCGACAUAGACAUCCUUAAACCCGCGGGGAUCUCAAACGACUCGUUGUUCAUACUAGCAGAAAUCCUUUGACCAAAUAUGCCAGCACACGUGUUAUUGGAAGCAUUCUUGGAAUCACACAGUUCUAGGUUAAGCGCAAUGGUAACCAACAUGUGUUCAUCAACUUUAAGUGGCAUCGGAACCCAGUGUGGGGCCCCCACCUUGCUCCUCACGUUGCCGUAGAAUUUAAAAGCCGUUUCUGUGUCGUUGAAUGGUGGUAGAAUUGUCAUUGUGGGCUUUGAUGAUGUUGGCGCAUUGUCGUAAAUGACUGUACCACGAACUAUGUUCCUGUCGAAGCGAGGGAUAUUAGUAACGUAAGGAGAGGCUACCAUGUAGUACGAACCGAUGGGUUGGUUCGCUGUGAAUAACACGUCAGCACUCUGACCAGGGACAAUAACGAUGAUGUCGGUAUCGUAGUGUUCGGUGUAUGAGGCAUCGACGGCAACAACUGUGAAGUUGUGAUUUGCAAUCUUAAAGAAAAGGUCGUAAUUGAGUGCAGCGUUGAUCAUUUGAAGCAUCUGUAGUUAAUGAAGCCAACGUACCAUCUUCAGUACAGUUGAGAAGAUCGCUGGUCAAACCAUUGAUUGUAAAGGCAUAAGAUGUGUUUGGGUCACCACCAGUAGCCAGUGCUUUGGCUGGAAUAUCCUCAACAUUAGAAUUAUACAAAUCUCCUGCAUUUAAAUUAAAAAAUAAUAAUUAUGAACAGAAUUACGAUAUUUGAUGUAUUGCAGAAUAUAAGAUGGUGUAUGAGCUAGAUUUCCAUGGUAGAUAAAGAAAAUGUGUUAUAUAUAAAGGUAAAAGAAAAUUUU
Long non-coding RNA from Vigna unguiculata (cowpea), 2025 nucleotides. Lineage: Eukaryota; Viridiplantae; Streptophyta; Magnoliopsida; Fabales; Fabaceae. The record is from RefSeq and is a predicted model, not a curated record.